This 418-nucleotide unclassified non-coding RNA is filed under the name Hevea brasiliensis (rubber tree). Lineage: Eukaryota; Viridiplantae; Streptophyta; Magnoliopsida; Malpighiales; Euphorbiaceae. The record is from RNAcentral.
UCUCAAAAAAAAAAGGAACAAAAAGAAGGGAAUCCAACAUUGAAGAACAAAGAUGUGAGUUCCACUUAGUGGCACCAGAGACACAACUAUUCUCCAAACCUCUCCAUAAAUCUCUAUUGAGACUAAAUCUCCAAGAAAAAGAUGCAAGUUCCAUUUCAAUUUGCAUUUGGAUGUCCAUUAAACUCUCAAACUGUUCCAGAAUCUCCAAGAAUGCAGCAUCGUUGUUAGUUCCUUUUUUUUCCCUCCUCCGUUAAGAUCACCAAGUAAAUAAGCAGCUAAAAGUGUCACAAGCAAUAGAAACUAUGCUAACAAACAAUAGUAAGCCACCUACUGCUGGGUAGUUCAAAAUAACAUGCAUUACAAUGCCAAAUUUUUAAUCAUAAACUCCAACUCUUACCUAGCAGAAGGGAAAAGCCGG